RNAcentral lists this unclassified non-coding RNA (208 nucleotides) under Glomeromycotina sp. RNAcentral's name for it is "partial contains 5.8S ribosomal RNA and internal transcribed spacer 2". The stretch from base 1 to 71 matches the Rfam family "5.8S ribosomal RNA", at positions 84 to 154 of the family's 154-position model. The record is from RNAcentral. Lineage: Eukaryota; Fungi; Glomeromycota.
GUGAAUCAUCAAAUCUUUGAACGCAAAUUGCACUCUCUGGUAUUCCGGGGAGUAUGCCUGUUUGAGGGUCAGUUUAAAUAAAAAUCGGUGUUGGUGCUGGCUUGUGUGGUGACGCACCGGGUUUGGGUCGUCUUUCCUUCAGUUGAGUGACCUAAAAUUUUUCAUGAUGUUUCGCGAACGUAGUGAAAUGAUUUUACAUACGUUUGCG